CCUAAUACAUGCAAGUCGAACGAGCUGCGCCUAAUGAUAGUUGAUGCUUGCAUUAACUUGACUUAAGUUAGCAGCGAGUGGCGAACUGGUGAGUAACACGUGGAUAACCUGCCCAGAAGAAGGGGAUAACACCUGGAAACAGAUGCUAAUACCGUAUAACAACGAAAACCACAUGGUUUUCGUUUGAAAGAUGGCCUUUGUGCUAUCGCUUUUGGAUGGAUCCGCGGCGCAUUAGCUAGUUGGUGAGAUAAAGGCUCACCAAGGCAAUGAUGCGUAGCCGACCUGAGAGGGUAAUCGGCCACAUUGGGACUGAGACACGGCCCAGACUCCUACGGGAGGCAGCAGUAGGGAAUCUUCCACAAUGGACGAAAGUCUGAUGGAGCAAUGCCGCGUGAGUGAAGAAGGGUUUCGGCUCGUAAAACUCUGUUGUUAGAGAAGAACGGGCGUGAGAGUAACUGCUCACGUCGCGACGGUAUCUAACCAGAAAGUCACGGCUAACUACGUGCCAGCAGCCGCGGUAAUACGUAGGUGGCAAGCGUUGUCCGGAUUUAUUGGGCGUAAAGCGAGCGCAGGCGGUCUUCUAAGUCUGAUGUGAAAGCCUUCGGCUUAACCGGAGAAGUGCAUCGGAAACUGGGAAACUUGAGUGCAGAAGAGGACAGUGGAACUCCAUGUGUAGCGGUGAAAUGCGUAGAUAUAUGGAGGAACACCAGUGGCGAAGGCGGCUGUCUAGUCUGUAACUGACGCUGAG
RNAcentral lists this ribosomal RNA (748 nucleotides) under Lactobacillus sp. RNAcentral's name for it is "bacterial SSU rRNA". It matches the Rfam family "Bacterial small subunit ribosomal RNA", at positions 47 to 750 of the family's 1533-position model. The record is from RNAcentral. Lineage: Bacteria; Bacillati; Bacillota; Bacilli; Lactobacillales; Lactobacillaceae.